RNAcentral lists this ribosomal RNA (253 nucleotides) under uncultured bacterium. RNAcentral describes it as "partial 16S ribosomal RNA". It matches the Rfam family "Bacterial small subunit ribosomal RNA", at positions 524 to 776 of the family's 1533-position model. The record is from RNAcentral.
UACGGAGGGGGCAAGCGUUGUUCGGAAUCACUGGGCGUAAAGGGCGCGUAGGCGGCUUUAUAAGUCGGGGGUGAAAGCCUGUGGCUCAACCACAGAAUUGCCUUCGAUACUGUAGAGCUUGAGACCGGAAGAGGUAAGUGGAACUGCGAGUGUAGAGGUGAAAUUCGUAGAUAUUCGCAAGAACACCAGUGGCGAAGGCGGCUUACUGGUCCGGUUCUGACGCUGAGGCGCGAAAGCGUGGGGAGCAAACAGG